This 275-nucleotide long non-coding RNA is filed under the name Elaeis guineensis (African oil palm). RNAcentral's name for it is "long non-coding RNA (EGUI_LNC075342)". Lineage: Eukaryota; Viridiplantae; Streptophyta; Magnoliopsida; Arecales; Arecaceae. The record is from RNAcentral.
GUGAGGUGUGAACAUAGGUGCCUAACUGUGUGUCUUCAGUGGCCAUUAUAAUAUAGCUUGAGAAUUAAGUGUCUUCAAAGGUUGUCAUGAUUGUUGAAUAAACACCACCAUGUCUUCAUAAGGAGGGAUAGAUUGAAUCUUCUGAGAUCAACGACUCCCAGACCACUGAGGGAUUUGGAACAAUAGAUCUUAUCCCAACUGACAAUGCAAUGAGCUCCCGCACAUAGUUUCUCAUCUCUCCAAAGAAACUGUCACCUUAUUCUCUCCAAUUUGAG